RNAcentral lists this small nucleolar RNA (101 nucleotides) under Cyphellophora europaea CBS 101466. RNAcentral describes it as "Small nucleolar RNA Z13/snr52". It matches the Rfam family "Small nucleolar RNA Z13/snr52". From Rfam's summary of the family: Z13 or snr52 is a member of the C/D class of snoRNA which contain the C (UGAUGA) and D (CUGA) box motifs. Most of the members of the box C/D family function in directing site-specific 2'-O-methylation of substrate RNAs. The record is from Rfam by way of RNAcentral. Lineage: Eukaryota; Fungi; Ascomycota; Eurotiomycetes; Chaetothyriales; Cyphellophoraceae.
CCCGCUCAAAUGAUGAAAUAUUUCGGAUGUAAAUCACAGACCUGUACCGAAAGCGCAAAACCGUGUGGAUAUUUUCCGUUGCCUUCCUUCUGAUUGAGCAU